UGGGGAAUUUUGGACAAUGGGCGAAAGCCUGAUCCGGCAAUGCCGCGUGUGUGAAGAAGGCCUUCGGGUUGUAAAGCACUUUUGUCCGGAAAGAAAUCCUUGGCUCUAAUACAGUCGGGGGAUGACGGUACCGGAAGAAUAAGCACCGGCUAACUACGUGCCAGCAGCCGCGGUAAUACGUAGGGUGCAAGCGUUAAUCGGAAUUACUGGGCGUAAAGCGUGCGCAGGCGGUUUGCUAAGACCGAUGUGAAAUCCCCGGGCUCAACCUGGGAACUGCAUUGGUGACUGGCAGGCUAGAGUAUGGCAGAGGGGGGUAGAAUUCCACGUGUAGCAGUGAAAUGCGUAGAGAUGUGGAGGAAUACCGAUGGCGAAGGCAGCCCCCUGGGCCAAUACUGACGCUCAUGCACGAAAGCGUGGGGAGCAAACAGGAUUAGAUACCCUGGUAGUCCACGCCCUAAACGAUGUCAACUAGUUGUUGGGGAUUCAUUUCCUUAGUAACGUAGCUAACGCGUGAAGUUGACCGCCUGGGGAGUACGGUCGCAAGAUUAAAACUCAAAGGAAUUGACGGGGUCAU
Molecule: ribosomal RNA, 574 nt
Filed under: uncultured bacterium
Lineage: Bacteria
Description: partial 16S ribosomal RNA
Rfam family: Bacterial small subunit ribosomal RNA
Source: RNAcentral